RNAcentral lists this ribosomal RNA (473 nucleotides) under uncultured organism. RNAcentral describes it as "partial 16S ribosomal RNA". It matches the Rfam family "Bacterial small subunit ribosomal RNA", at positions 333 to 797 of the family's 1533-position model. The record is from RNAcentral.
ACACUCCUGCGGGAGGCAGCAGUGGGGAAUAUUGCACAAUGGGCGCAAGCCUGAUGCAGCCAUGCCGCGUGUAUGAAGAAGGCCUUCGGGUUGUAAAGUACUUUCAGCGGGGAGGAAGGCAAUACGGUUAAUAACCGUGUUGAUUGACGUUACCCGCAGAAGAAGCACCGGCUAACUCCGUGCCAGCAGCCGCGGUAAUACGGAGGGUGCAAGCGUUAAUCGGAAUUACUGGGCGUAAAGCGCACGCAGGCGGUCUGUCAAGUCGGGUGUGAAAUCCCCGGGCUCAACCUGGGAACUGCAUUCGAAACUGGCAGGCUUGAGUCUUGUAGAGGGGGGUAGAAUUCCAGGUGUAGCGGUGAAAUGCGUAGAGAUCUGGAGGAAUACCGGUGGCGAAGGCGGCCCCCUGGACAAAGACUGACGCUCAGGUGCGAAAGCGUGGGGAGCAAACAGGAUUAGAUACCCCUGUAGUCCCA